UACGUAGGGGGCAAGCGUUAUCCGGAUUUACUGGGUGUAAAGGGAGCGUAGACGGCAGUGCAAGUCUGAAGUGAAAGGCAAGGGCUCAACCCUUGGACUGCUUUGGAAACUGUGCUGCUGGAGUGUCGGAGAGGCAAGUGGAAUUCCUAGUGUAGCGGUGAAAUGCGUAGAUAUUAGGAGGAACACCAGUGGCGAAGGCGGCUUACUGGACUGUAACUGACGUUGAGGCUCGAAAGCGUGGGGAGCAAACAGG
Molecule: ribosomal RNA, 253 nt
Filed under: uncultured bacterium
Lineage: Bacteria
Description: partial 16S ribosomal RNA
Rfam family: Bacterial small subunit ribosomal RNA
Source: RNAcentral